UGCAUUUUAGGAUAUCCUAAAAUUGCAUUUUAGGUUAUUAAGCGUCACUUUUGGUCGGCUCUUAGUGCAAAAAUAAAUUCAGCAUAUUAAGCGGUAAGGGCAAAUGGAGCAAAUAAUGGCGCAAAGUGAUUUAGGCUCUCCACAAAAAUGAUUUCUUUCACAAUCCAGUAGCAUCUCCAUGAUCUAGGCAGCAUCUGCUUUCAUCUCAGCUGAUCGGUGACAUUCCCUUCCCCCACUGUCUGCAAUGAUAACUGACCUUGGCCUCACUCAGUCUCAGCAUUCUACCUUUAGUUCCCUACUGACCAUAGGUGCCAUGAUUGGUGCAAUAACAAGUGGUCGUGUUGUAGAUUUCCGGGGGAGAACAGUGGCAAGUGCUUUACUUUGUGACGAGUCCUU
Molecule: long non-coding RNA, 396 nt
Organism: Cryptomeria japonica (Japanese cedar)
Lineage: Eukaryota; Viridiplantae; Streptophyta; Pinopsida; Cupressales; Cupressaceae
Exons: 3
Source: RefSeq, a predicted model, not a curated record